This 471-nucleotide ribosomal RNA is filed under the name uncultured bacterium. RNAcentral's name for it is "bacterial SSU rRNA". It matches the Rfam family "Bacterial small subunit ribosomal RNA", at positions 28 to 492 of the family's 1533-position model. The record is from RNAcentral.
GAUGAACGCUAGCGGCAGGCUUAACACAUGCAAGUCGAGGGGCAGCACGGGUAGCAAUACCUGGUGGCGACCGGCGCAAGGGUGCGUAACGCGUGAGCAACAUGCCCUAUACAGGGGGAUAAUCCAGGGAAACUUGGUCUAAUAUCCCCAUAGUAUUUAGAGGAGGCAUCUUCUAUAAAUUAAAGCUUCGGUGGUAUAGGAUUGGCUCGCGUGACAUUAGCUAGAUGGUGAGGUAACGGCUCACCAUGGCAAUGAUGUCUAGGGGUUCUGAGAGGAAGGCCCCCCACACUGGGACUGAGACACGGCCCAGACUCCUACGGGAGGCAGCAGUGAGGAAUAUUGGACAAUGGAUGGAAAUCUGAUCCAGCCAUGCCGCGUGCAGGAAGACAGCCCUAUGGGUUGUAAACUGCUUUUAUAUUGGGAGCAAUAAGGUCUACGUGUAGACUGAUGAGAGUACCAUAUGAAUAAGCA